Molecule: long non-coding RNA, 11918 nt
Filed under: Vitis vinifera (wine grape)
Lineage: Eukaryota; Viridiplantae; Streptophyta; Magnoliopsida; Vitales; Vitaceae
Description: long non-coding RNA (VVIN_LNC002613)
Source: RNAcentral
CUAACCUGAAAUUAGGAGGGAAAAUGGAAAGGCGGUAACACUCUAAGGCGGCAAAACUCAUCGAAAUAACAUAAGACCCCCUUCUCCACUCCUUGCCGUCUCUGGUCUCUUCUCGCAUCCGUCUGCAAGGUACGCAUCUCGAUCUGAAUCACUGCAUCCCGAUCCAUGUUUUAUUCAGUUGAAUCCAAAUCAAAACGGGGGAACUGAUGUUAUACUGGCUUAUUUGUUGAUAUCUGGAGUCAGAAGUGGAUCUAUCAAAUCCGUGAAUCUUUUUCUAUUUGAUGUUCCGUCUUGAAGAAUGGAUCUAUGAAUUUAUUUUCUUCUAUUAUAUGUCUUGAACUCUGAUUUAAUGUUAUAUUAUGAUAUCUGUUGAAUUUGUUGUCCUAGUAUAUUGUCAUAUGGCAUGGAUUGGUUGUAGUCGACUGAGAUUGCUUUUGAGAUGCAAUUCUUUCACAUUAUAGCUAGAUCGUUGUUUUAUGUUGGUUUAAAUACUGGUUUUUCAAUACUUCGGUACAGGGAGUUAAAAGUUGAUGCUUUAGAUUGAUGCUUGUAUUUAGGUUAACUUGUACUUUUCUUGAAUUAGGGAAUGCCUUUAUUUAGUAACUUAAAAUUUUAUUGAAUUUGGAGAGAAUGUGUUAUUAACCUUGCUGCUAAAAGGAUUCUGUCACUGGCAUCAUCUCAGUAACGAAGUAAUGGGGAUUUUGUUGGUGCCUCAACUACUCACGCUCUAUGGGAAUUCUACCAUACCAAUCAGUCAUCUUCUUCUCCAUUGUUAGUGGAGCUCAUCCAUGGAAGGAAGAAGGAUGAAUGUUCUAACACUAAACAAUAUAUAUAGUCAUUGUUGAAUAAUUUCAGGUGUUGGUUUUACCAUCAUCACUAUACAAUUCCUUGUAUUUGGUUCAAACUUCUUUCUCCAUUUUAGCAUUUCCCUCCCUCCCUCCCUCCCAAGUGCAUGUGAAAAGAUGGGUUGUGUUGGAAAGAAGUCGUGAACAGGUCAGUGGAAUGCCGGGAAUGGAUACGUUUCAGUAAUUGUCAGUGUCAAGGAGAGUAGACCACUUGGGGAACAUAAUACUUUCAAUCUUAAAACAUCAUAAUUUAUAUGAGGGAACCAUUGGAUUGUGUAAUAAGCAUUUGGGUCAUUUAUAGAAGUCAUGUGUAUUAUGAUUCCUUAAUAAUAUGGAAGUCGUGUGUAUUAUGUGAUUCCUUAACAAUAUGCUGUUUUCUCAAGCCAUAGGCACGGGAGUUUUCAUAUCCGUUUUGAUGGUAUGAGUUGCAUUUGAAACUCAUUUAUGUUGUUGCAACUUGCAACCUGCACCCAGAGUACAAAGUUGGCAGAUUGAAAGAUUUCUGUGCUGUUUGGGAUCACAGUGCAAUCUUGCAUUGAGAUUAGUUGGUUUAUAUAUUUCAACUAGCAAUGAUAAUUUAUUUGUUUCAAUAAAAUGAGUUCAUUAGAUAGAUUAAAUAGAAGGACGCUCAGGAACAAAUCCUUUACUCUUUGACCGUGGUGGACACAAAAAAGGUGGCAUAAAAUUAUUCUAACUUUCUGGCUUCCAUAUCCCUUACUCAGCAUUUCUUGUCUUCAUUGCACUGGAUCAUUGGAUUCAUGUUGCUCAGUUCGCAGAUUGGAAUGCCUCCUCUGCUUGGGAUAUACAGUCGAUUUCUCUAGUCCUUGUUUCUAGUGAUCCAUUUCCAUCAAGUCUAAUAUUUGAUUCUAUUCACCCAUCUCGUUUUAGUUGUGCUCAAAUGCAUGUGAGAAUUACCCAAAAGCCUUAAGGAUGGCCUAUUCCUUAAACAUGCUGUGGGACUUAUUCCUAAAGACAUUCUAGCAGGUGAUCCUGGCUUAGAGGAAGAAGGGAUUUAAAGAACUAGGGAUUCACCAACGCUUUUUCUCAGUUGCAACAUAAAGAACAUGACUUAGCUCAAAUGCUCUAAGUAGUAUUCCUUUUUGUUUGACAGGAGCUCCACUUCACCCUCCAUUGUAGCUCAGAUAAAUCCCUCUACCGAAUAUUUACUUUUUUGGAUUGAGAAGAAAAAAAAAAAAAACAAUUCUAAGCUUGCACCAGACGACAAAUUUUAGUCAGUGAUAUUUACUGGUUCUGGAAGAAUGGCUCCAACCUUGAGCAUUACAUUGAUUAUCUUGUUAACCAUGUACAAAAAUACCUUCCCACUUGUCACGGGAACUUACAACCUAAAACUGGUAAACAGCCUUUUUCCACUAACAAGUUACAAGCUCUCAAAUUUUGAGCCACUGAAUGUUGGUCAAAAUACCUACUCACUUGUCAUGGAAUCUUAGAAAGUAACCGGGUAACAACCUUCCCAUUAGACAAGUUACGACCUCACCCAUUCUGUGCAACUGAAUGUUCUCCUUUUGUUGAAUUGACAUUGUUCUCUGGAUUGUACGAUUAUCUAGAUUUGGCGUCAACCAAUGUGAUAUUUCAUCAAGCACAAUACCUAGUUCUCAUUUAUUUUACCUUUUGUCCUUGUCAACCUGCUUGCUGGAAAGUGCAGUCUGGCCAUCAGGGGCCGAGGUGCUCGUGUUUUCUGGUCAAACCCUCUUACACAAACAAAUCCUGCAAAAUUACACCAAAAAUGGAAUGUUUUAAACCAUUCUUCUAAGACAGGAUAAGGGAUUUAGGGUUUCAGUGUGUUUUUUGGUUAAUUUGUCCUGAUAACUUGAAUUGAUCUAGAACAAUAGGCUUGCAUACCUGAUCAUAACCAUUUUCUUUUAAAUAUUUUGGAUGUAGAAGUAGUAGCAGGUUAGUAGGGAGUGACUGCUCGAAAAUUCUUGAGAGAAGAAAAAUACAAUGAGCUUCUUAUAUAACAAUUUUAAAAUUUUAAUUAUCAUUUAUUUGUUGGUCAUUGUCUGGUUUUGGUAGAAAUAGGUUUGUUACCAUACUGAGUUCCAUUGGUAUCUGUACCUGGAUAGCGUCCAAAAAGACAUCAAUUUAAGAACUACUGCUCUAUCAUGUGAAUAUUAUGAUUGGCAGGGUAUCAAAAAGCAAGUGUGUGAAGCAAGAAAUGCUAAGGGUUUGAUAUUUGCAUGUACCUCUCCAGAAACAGUAUUGUAUAUCUUCUGUUGAUAAACCUGACAGAGAAAUGACUAUUGUGAAUUACAAUUUUUUGAUCUUAUAUGUUUCACUAGAACCAUUCUCUUCUAUAUUAUUUACCUUUAAAUAUUGUUGGUAUGGAGGUCCCAAAGUACACAGUGCGUCUUGGCAGAUUCCAUAUCCAGGCCCUAGGAACAUCAAUGGGGUUAAGGCUGGAGUCAUGGUCAGCAAACACCUGCAUAGGAAUAUAACCUGAAAUAAAUUUUUUUGAAGUGCAUAAAAGAAUGUAAGGGAGCUCAAUAGGAAUUGGAUUUUACCUCAUUAACUUGGAAGUAUGUGCCAUUCAAUGGAAAGCUCCCUCUCAUUGCUGUUCGACAUGGUAUCUGGUCAUUAGGUGUUGUAAAUAUUGGUUAGUAUCUGGUAUUGAUACCAUUGUUUUUUUGUUUUUAUUCUUGUUUUUCUUGCUUUUUGUUUUUUUCCCCUCUAGUGAAGUUGAAAAGGUUCUCAAAGUAACAGUGAGUAUCUCACCAAAAGUGUCCCUCGGACAGUUUGGGAAUUUGCUUCUCGUAUACUAUUGCACGAGAAGCAUGUCUUUUCAUCACAUAGUCCUCCAGAUUCCUGGGAGCUACACGUUCUUUCAGGUGGUUGAAUGGAAUUUGCAGUUUCACCUAAUAACAUUUAUGCACAUUUUAAUUAGCAAAUGAUGAGAGAUGAAUUUUCAAUAUAAACAAGAUGCUGGAAAUUUAAGUGCUGCAACUACAUUCUGUUUUAAAAGUUAUCUAGAGUAGAGUGGUCAUUGGUAAAUUUGGUAGGUUACUUUUGCAGAUUGGCAAUGUUGCUACUCACCUGGGGUCCAAAUGGCGAGAAGGUAUGAACAUGGAUCAUCAGGUUCUCUUUUGUCCAGCUGUAAUUUGAUCAGGAAUAGUUGGUCAGGAUAGACAUUUAGAUAUCCAAGGCGUGACUAAAUUGCUUGGAAAGUAGAUGGAAAAAACUACUAACCCCUUCCAGUAGAGGGUGUGAAUCUGGAAGCUCAUAGCUGCAUUAUGGUGUAAAGGCAGUUACUGAAGGAUUUACAUAUACUGAUACAAAUAUUUUUAUCAUUGUUCCUUGCAAAAUGCCGUCCUUUAUAGGCUAUGUAGAUGAGAGCUAGUUCUACUCUUAUGACCCUUAUGAGAUGCUGCUCAUAUUUCUAGUUAUUGAGAGGUCAUAGCCCAGAAAGCCUUAUAUUCAUUUAGUUUACUUGGAGCAGAAUGAGCGGACAUUAAAUGAUUAAAUGAUUUUGGAAUCAGGGAAAUGCCUACUUACACAUGGUGCUCUGUUCGUAGUCGACUAACAUUCUUAAGCUUGGGCAUGGGAAUAGAAGCAACUUCUGGAGUUAAAGCAACCAAAGCCUUUGACAUGUCACUUUCUUGAAGUUCCAUAUUUCUCUGCAUAUAGUUCUGUAAAUUGUGAGUGAACUCUUCAAUGUUGAGUUUGAUUGUUGGUAUCUCAUCAGGAUCCUCAUACAAGGUGUCCUCAAUAUCACUUUCUAAUAUUUGUGGAUGUUCUUGUUCUGGUGUUGCUGGUACUUCAACAAUGGGUUCACAGUUAUUGAUCCCUGGAUUUGCUUCUGAUGAUUGCUUCUGAGGUAGAGGUGGUGGUAGAGGCAGUGGAUUGAUGGUCACAUCAGGGUUUCCAUCCAUUGAUUCGUUUGCAUUUGUGCUUACUAUGCUUCUUUCCUCUGGCCCUGUCAAGGCAAGCCUUGCACUGCAUCCAAAAAUGCUCAUUAAUAAUCCAAUUUAUCCACUCCCUUGGUUUCACAAACAUCAUCCCAGUUUUGCUAGAACUAAGUAUUCAAGUAACAGUCUUGUAUAAUGAUAUGGAUAACGGACACACACAUGUACCUUGCAAAUGCACUUGCAAAGUGUCUGCAUUCUCCCCUCAUUGGACAUGCAUUGCAAUUUGGUUUGCUUUUUGUGCAGAAAACCUGCAUAAUAAAGCUCAAAGAAUGUUGUCACUCAGCUUUUUCUUACGAUUGACUACUGGUGAAAGAAUUUAAGGCAGGUCUAUAGACGUAAUAUACCUUGCCGAAUGUGAUCAUCUGGUAAUGCAGCUCAUACCUGUUAUUAGAUAUUGCAACAAAUCGAAAGCCUUUUAGUUUAGCAGCUAGUUCUCAUUCUAAAUGCAUGCAAAUAUAAUAUACAUAAAUGUUAGGAGUAAUUUUAUUUACAAUGUUCUCUGGUCGAGCUUGCAUAGUCGUGGCCAAAGAUAUUUCUGAAUUGACUCUAGCACUGGGUAUCUGUGUAGGAAUGGUAUUAAUACUUCUGUUGUGAAUGCACAUGUUCUGCAUUGCUAAUUUAUACUCACAGUUCUAGAAGAUGCAAUUGAAGUGACUCAGGCAAGGGCUGAAGGGGUACCCAUCCCAAUCUUACAGCUAUACGUCCAACAUUUGUAUCAACCUUUUUGAAGAUAAACAAGUAAAAUUGUAAGUUUGAGAUUCGUAGAAUUGCAUUCAGCAUAUACAUAAUUGAAGUUUGAACUUACUGGAAAAGCAAGGUGGUGGAGGGUCAAAAGCCGAACGCAUUCCACACUUUUUAACCCAAGCCCUCUAAAGCUUAGCAGAUACUCUCUGUAGGACCACAUUAUAUAUUAAAUAUAAAAACCCUUAAAGUAAUAUAAAAAUCAUGACAAGAUGAGAUGAUACUUGUCAUGAUAUAUGCUGGAUGGCUGGUGUACUGAAUGUUCAAUCUAACUGUACUGGAUUGGAUUGAAUUAUUUUUGUGGACUUACUUUGCUUUGUCAGGAGGAACAUCCCUCAACCACUCAAGAUCAAUGCUUCCAUGGUCCCUAACCAGCCUGUUAAGAAAAUCCUGCACAAAGUGCAAACAUUUCAUCAGCUGAUUUACAGCUUUCUGUCUCUUGUCAGUCAUACAUAAAAAAAACUAUUUGCAGCUGACAUUGACAAAUUUUAUAAUAUUUAUUUGGGAUAUUAUACUUGUACCUUGAUUCGCUCUGCAAGCAUGUUAUUCAUACCCCUUUCUUUGAUGGUAUUAGCAAUUUCAUUAACAUCUGAACAUCUCACUGCUUCCCAAUCUAAUGAGUCCAUUGUGUUUACUGUUCUUUCCCUUUUCCUUCCAUUGACUUGAGCCUCUUUUCUUAAGUUAUCCCAAUGAAGUGUAUUUUUUUCCUCCCUUCGGGCCUUUCCCUUCUUUGCUUUUGAAGUGUCCACACCAAUUUCAUUAGAUGCCUUGCUAGAAGAAAGACCAUGUUCUUUCACACCUGUCUCGCUUUUCCUAUCCUCGAUAUGUGUUUGGUUACUGAAUGCACUGGGACAGUCAAUAACAUCCAAGGCCUUUCCCGAAAUGUUCAUCAAAUUCUGACUUUGCUGCAUUCUGCUGAUCUGCUCCUGACCCACAGACUCAACAACAUUUUUAGGAUCUCCAACAGGGCUGCUUUGGGACUCGAUGAUCUUGUUGUUUUCUCCUUGAAGGUUGUUAUCUGAGAAGGUAUUUUCACAAGAAGAUGUUGGUCCUGCUUGAAUGCUCUCUGUCAGCUUCUUUUCAUCUUUAGCUUGAUUGUCAGAUUCUGCUGUUAAUCCACUUUGUUCGCUCACACACUUUUGAUCCUUGGAAAUUUCAGAAGAUCUGGUUUCUCCAGACAUUUCAAAACCUUCAACUUCCAACACUCCUGAGUUGGGGUUUAGAUGCAAAUGAUAAUUACUGGAAGGGAUAAUGGUUACUCCCAGUGAACUUCUACAGUCAGCCAAUCCAUCCAUGUUUUGACUUCUCUUGUUAUAACCACUCAUGCUUUCUGAAUGGUAGUUCACAUCCUUUGGAUUUGCUCCACAUGUUGCAUUGAUAUUGCUGCGACAGAAAACUUCAUGUAACCUGGUGGAUUCUGCCAUCUGUAAAAGCCCCACAAAGGAAGUGGAUCCAUCAAAAUUGUUGAGUCCAUACCCAGUUGGCAUAAUAUCCUCUACUUCUGAAUUGCUUUCUGAGCAUGAUCCUAUUUUUUCAGCAGUCUGAGCUAUUGAAAAGUCUAAAGAGUUUUGAGAAGAAGCUGCAUCAUCUGCUGCAGUCCUGUCUCCUCCUAUAAAACAUGCUAGUUCUGUCCCUAUCAUCUGGGUGGUUGUCCCAUUCACACUCGAUUUGUUAGACAUUUUUUUACCAGUAGAAUCUAACAUUUUGUCUUUUGAAAUAUCAACAGUGCCAACUGUUCCUCUGCUGUUUCCAUAGGAUCCAUUGCUGUUAACAGCUUCCUCAGUGUGGUGCAGUGUCAUAGAACUCUGGUCACAGACUGCUUGAUUUGACAUUUUCUCAUUCCAUGUGACCGUGUCUUCUGGGUUUAGUGUGCAGACCUCUGGUUCUUCAACUAAAAUCCUCGUUUCCAAUUCAGUUGAUGGUCUGUGGUUGCACUUACAGGGAAAAUGGGCAGCAAGUGACAUGAAUGCAGAACUGCAAAGAAGGAAGAGAUGGAUUAAUGAGUUUUCUCACUUUUUGUCUAUAAUGUUAAAUUCUGUUAACAACUAUCUCAAAAAUUGUAGUUCACCUAGAAAGGUGAUCUGAAACAUUCUGUGUGAGGAAGACUCCAACCACUGAGUCCACAACUGACCCCUUCCAUUUGGAAAAGCGUCUAUCCCCUGCCAACAUAUCACUUUGUUGUUAGUAUAUCAACUUAAUUGAAUUUUCUGAGGUGUGUAUGUAUAUAUUUGAACUGGUUAUUAUUCAAGGCUAUUGGUUAAUAUUUUAGACCUUGAUAUUUUCUUUUGGCUUAAUAAUAAGCAAAAAAAUUUCAUGGGAUUGCUUAUGUAGUUCAGUUAUAAACUGUUUGAGAUAUAAUAAUUAGGAUACCGUUUGUGAUGGUUUCUUGUUCCUAUGCUUUUAGAAUGUUAUAAACCUUUUGUUCUCUGUUACUACUGAUUUUGGCAAGAAACUCACUGGUGAUAAGGUUUGGAAAUUUGUUAACCUAGGGAAUGGAUAUGCUUCUUGUUCCAGAUGUUCUUGUUCUUUCUCCCUAUUAUGAUUCUACUUUAUUGCUUCAGGAUUCAAUUGAUGCUUACUUGCAUGGUAGAACUUUGAAAUAAAAAAAUGUUGGUCACUUGCAUUUUAGAAUUUUGAAAUUAAAAGUGUUUCAGUUUUUUUUUUUAUAAGUAAAUGGCAAUAGUAUUAAUAAAAAAGCGUCAAAAGGGGCACACCAAAGUACAUACGAUGUAUACAAUGGCUACCAAAGAGCGCCAAAAAGUAUAGGGAAAACAAAAUCCCUCCCUCCCUCAAUCCGACCCCAACCAAUCAAUUAAAAAUGUUUCAAUUGAAGGAGCUUCUGUGCUUGCAACUCCUUGAAAUCACUCUUUUAGUUCCCUUUUGUAGUAAGAAUGCUCCAAGUUUAACUCUCUCUUUCAGACUAGUAAUUCAUGACUUCUCAAGUAUUCAGUUGUGGCUUCUAUAUGUGUGCAUGCAUGCACCUGCCUGUGAGGUUUGGGGUGGCUUUAUCACUAAUUCUAGCUCAAUUUAAUCCUGUUUCUUAUUGCUUGUGUUUCAAAUCAAUGUCUAUUAAUAUUCCUUUUAACUCCUAGUUGUUUGAUAUUUACAUUAAAUACCCUCCAAAAGUAUUAUCCUGUAUAUUCUUGAAUCAACAUAUGAAAUUCUUGAAACAAUAUAUGAAAUGUAAUGCCUAAUCAAGCAUUCAACAAAAUGUGAUGAGAGGUAAAAUUUUUGUACCUUGGACUAGAUGCAUGCGUGCAAUAAAUGAGUCUGCUCGUCCACGAAAUACAUUUCUUUCUUCUUCCCACCAUUUUGCCUUCUCCUCAUCUGUACCAUCGAUACCUUCACUAUUUAUAUUUCCCAUCAGAAGCUUCCAUACUCUACUUGUCUCUUCAUCAAGAUCCACUCUAGGCCGUGGGCGUCGUUUCUUGACAAGACCAAAUGAAUCCUCAAAAGGAACGAUAGUGCCAUCUCUUUUAUAAAGGACAAGUGCAUUUUUCUCCUCUUUAUUCAUAUUGUAAGGGACAAGUGCAUUCUGCUCUUGAUAAGAAAUUUUACUUUCCCUAUUGAUGUCAAGAUGCUUCAAUUGCUCAAUGAUUGUAUCAAUUGAAAGCAUGUGUUUCCAUAUUAGUUCUGGAGGAUCUGCAUAAAUGUUUUAUAUAAUCAAAUGAAUAUUUUUGUCAGUUAGGUAAAUCAAAUGACUUGAAAGAUAUGUUUCUUGAACAUGAAAAGCCAUCAAUUGUUUUCCAAGGUAUAGCUGACAGUUCUAAAGAACAUAAAGAACAUACCUGCUAACUUGAGAAGCUGUCGGUUGUUAUAUACAUCAGUCUGCUGGUGUAGCUGCACUUCAUUUGUUCUGGAUGAUGUUGAACCUACAACUGGGUUUCUCUUUUUGGUCCGCUUCCUUCUUGCCAAUUUACUGGUCUCUGCAACUAGGGCUUCUAUGCAUGUGUGUGGCCUGUUUGAACUUUCUGCCCCUUGAACAUCAGGAUUUGGUGAAAUUCUCUUGUCAGGGAAAUUUGGCAGUAGUUUACACAGUGCAAUUCCAUUCAGGGAAGCUAAGUCACGAACCCUAGUGAGGCCCUUGGAUCUUUUUUUGGUCAACCUCUCUCUUGGGCCUAAGGCUAGCAUACAAUCAAAGGUCUGCACUUUGUCUUGGCCACCAUUUUCUGCUUGUCCUUGAGUAGCUGGGGCACUGGAAUUAGUGAAUCGAGAGGCAGAAAUCCAGCUGUCAGAUUUUGAUGCAGAAGAACUUGGGAUUGCAUGAUUUUGAGGGCAUGCUGUUGCUAGCAUCACAAUAUUUUUAGCAGCCAUUACAGGUGAUAAGUUAGUUGCAGUUGAAUUCAAUCCCUUCUCAGUUCUCUUUUUCUUGUAAAUUUCUGGAAAAUGCAUGCCAGGGUUCCUAUUUUGUUCAUUUGCCUGAAACUUAGCAUGAUAUGCCUGCACAGAAUUGUACUGAUUCCCAUUCAUACUCAUGGUUCUUGGAUCUGCCUUGUCAACAAUAUGGGAGUGUACCCUUUUGGUUCCCCUUCUAUGUUCUCUCUCUUUCAAACUUGCACUGGUGCUGCAAUUGGUAUUAUUUGGACUCAUUGAUUUCAAGCUUUCUUGUAAAAUGUUUUCCUGUUUAUCACACACAAUUUCUUGACUUGCUCUUUCUCUGUCAUUCUCAUUUUGGGCAUCAUUCUUCAGUUUCUCCCAUGGAUGAUCAGUAUUUCUUUGAGGUGGGGUGCUUGGGAAUUGUCUAUCAGGCAAUGACACGUAAUUUUUCAGCUCUUGAUUCAUUGAACGAGUAAGGUCAUAGGCGAUGCCUACUUGUGUCUCUUCUACCGUAACUUCCAUCUCUUUACUGAGCAUCACAACAGAUUUUGAUUGAAUUCCUUGGGUACAGAAAUCUUGUGCUUGUGGUUCUGAAUUCAAAUCAGAAGUGGAUAUGCAUGAAGAGCUUCCACCUCUUGCUCUACCAUUGUCGUCAAAGUUUAAUCCCCUUCUACAUGACAUCAUGGUACGUUCAGGCCUUUCUGGUUCGGUACUCCGACCCAUUAUUUCUGCUGGAGAAUUUGUUGAGGGUUUGUUGACUCCAUUCUUGCGAACAUACUUUCUCUUGCCUGUUGGAUUUCCCUGGGAACCAGUGCACUUUGGGUUUACUGGCUUUGGUGUCCUUUUAGGUUUGCCUUCUAUGACUACUUUGGGCCUGUGCUUUUUUCUUCUAGGUUUCUGUUGGGGUGUCUUAUUCAGGUCAAUAAUAUGGUCUCCUCUUUUGUCAAAAUUGCAAUUCUCUGUCAGUGGGCCAAUAGCAUGGUUGCCUCCAUUGUCAAGAUUGACAUUUUCAUUUAAUGGUGAGGAGACAGGAGCAAAUGAUAAAUCUGUUGGUGACUGCAGAAGUUUUGAAUCACAAUGGAGGUGGUUGACCUCAACCCUUGUGGUGUCAAUAGCCUUCUCUUGCUUCUCUGUUUCUUGAACAGUUUUUUCUUCUGGGCAUAAAUUUUGAGAUUUGGCAACCCAGCUGUUCUCUACUCGCCUGUUUUUAUCUGGUGUUAUGGGUGCAAAGUGGGAGAUAGCGCUGCCAGAGACUGCCUCUGCCAUUGAUUCAGGUGGUGAAUUAAGGUCAUAAAAGUGCCUGUAAGUGGGGAGUCCAUCUGCACAGUACCAUCAUACCAUGUUAUGGCCAAUUAGAUAAGAAAAACCAACAAAGCAUGGACUUCAUCAAAGAAACUGUUACCAGGAAAGUUAUUAUAAAGAUAAAUGUUCAUUGGGAACAUAUUUCUACCUCUAAUUUGGAUUUGUCUGACAUGUGGAGAAAAUGCAUUGAAAAUUUGAUCUUAAAUGAAUAGAACUUGGCAAAAUGUUAAGCAGAAUUAGAAUGCGACAAAGGGAACGGUAGGAGCUGAAUGGCACACAAGGAAAACUGGUAAUAAGGUCAGUUGUAGAUGCUAUCAUUGUUCCAUUGCCCUUUUUCCUGGCUACCUUUCAGAAUAUUUCAAUUUCUUCAUUUCUGGUUUUAGAUAAAAUUUUAUGCAUGAUUUCAUAUUUCUGGUUUUAAUAUUGUCUCCCGUGCUCAUUCCGCUGUUGGUCCCUAAUCAUGGUUCUAAAGUUUGUGCAGGUGACCUGGCUGAAAUGAAAUGUAAAACCAGUCUGUGUACGAUAGCAUAAAUAAGAAUCCAAAGGUGAAACUUUGACACUCACAUUGAUUCAUAUCAGGUGCACUUGUCCACUGGCUUGAUCCAAGCAAGAGAUCUUGGCUUUUAAGCAACAUGCUUGUGGAGCUAGAAACUUCAGGGUGGAGAUGUGUAGCAGACAUGAAAGGGCUACUUGCCCCACUAACAUUCUCAGGUGAUACGGCAGAUGGAAUGAAGGCUGCAUUUGUCUGAGCCAAUAGCUGGGUGAAAGGAAUAUUGUCCAAACUCAUCUCCAG